UGUAAGCGUAUACCAAAGUUGUUGCAGUUAAAACGCUCGUAGUCGGAAUUUGGCAGUUCCGGAUGUGUGCACGUCGAGUGCGCACUUCGCGGGGAUUGCUUUUGUGGUCUUGCGUAGGAUGAGGCACUUUUAUUAGUGAACGUCCUCACGCAACCACUUUUUACUGUGAGAAAAUCAGAGUGCUCAAAGCAGGCAUUUGCCGUGAAUGUAUUAGCAUGGAAUAAUAGAAUAGGACUUGGUUCUAUUUUGUUGGUUUGUUGGGACUGAGUAAUGAUUAAGAGGGACAGUUGGGGGCAUUUGUAUUUCGGUGCUAGAGGUGAAAUUCUUAGAUUACCGAAAGACAAACUGCUGCGAAAGCGUCUGCCAAGGAUGUUUUCAUUGA
RNAcentral lists this ribosomal RNA (382 nucleotides) under uncultured eukaryote. Its description in RNAcentral is "partial 18S ribosomal RNA". It matches the Rfam family "Eukaryotic small subunit ribosomal RNA", at positions 592 to 976 of the family's 1831-position model. The record is from RNAcentral.